CAAAUACGAUUGGGGUGCCCAUCCGGCUGAGAUCAAACCCAUUGAACCUGCUCUGGUUAAAACCAGCGAAGGGAACGCGUAACAUAGCUAUC
This 92-nucleotide non-coding RNA is filed under the name Levilactobacillus paucivorans. RNAcentral's name for it is "Lactobacillus paucivorans TPP sequence". It matches the Rfam family "TPP riboswitch aptamer (THI element)". Rfam says of the family: Vitamin B(1) in its active form thiamin pyrophosphate (TPP) is an essential coenzyme that is synthesised by coupling of pyrimidine and thiazole moieties in bacteria. The previously detected thiamin-regulatory element, thi box was extended, resulting in a new, highly conserved RNA secondary structure, the THI element, which is widely distributed in eubacteria and also occurs in some archaea. The record is from RNAcentral. Lineage: Bacteria; Bacillati; Bacillota; Bacilli; Lactobacillales; Lactobacillaceae.